AGAACGAACGCUGGCGGCAGGCUUAACACAUGCAAGUCGAGCGCCCCGCAAGGGGAGCGGCAGACGGGUGAGUAACGCGUGGGAACAUACCCUCCGGUUCGGAAUAGCUCAGGGAAACUUGGAUUAAUACCGGAUACGGCCUAGCGGCGAAAGAUUCAUCGCCGGAGGAUUGGCCCGCGUUCGAUUAGCUAGUUGGUGAGGUAACGGCUCACCAAGGCGACGAUCGAUAGCUGGUCUGAGAGGAUGAUCAGCCACAUUGGGACUGAGACACGGCCCAAACUCCUACGGGAGGCAGCAGUGGGGAAUAUUGGACAAUGGGCGCAAGCCUGAUCCAGCCAUGCCGCGUGAGUGAUGACGGCCUUAGGGUUGUAAAGCUCUUUCGCUAGGGACGAUAAUGACGGUACCUAGACAAGAAGCCCCGGCUAACUUCGUAGCCAGCAGCCGC
RNAcentral lists this ribosomal RNA (445 nucleotides) under uncultured bacterium. RNAcentral's name for it is "SSU rRNA". It matches the Rfam family "Bacterial small subunit ribosomal RNA", at positions 26 to 518 of the family's 1533-position model. The record is from RNAcentral.